Molecule: ribosomal RNA, 170 nt
Filed under: uncultured bacterium
Lineage: Bacteria
Description: partial 16S ribosomal RNA
Rfam family: Bacterial small subunit ribosomal RNA
Source: RNAcentral
UACGGGAGGCAGCAGUGGGGAAUAUUGGGCAAUGGGCGAAAGCCUGACCCAGCAACGCCGCGUGAGGGAAGAAUGUCUUCGGAUUGUAAACCUCUGUCCUUGGGGACGAAAAGAAUGACGGUACCCAAGGAGGAAGCUCCGGCUAACUACGUGCCAGCAGCCGCGGUAAU